RNAcentral lists this unclassified non-coding RNA (284 nucleotides) under plant metagenome. RNAcentral describes it as "partial contains small subunit ribosomal RNA, internal transcribed spacer 1, and 5.8S ribosomal RNA". The stretch from base 1 to 53 matches the Rfam family "Eukaryotic small subunit ribosomal RNA", at positions 1779 to 1831 of the family's 1831-position model. The record is from RNAcentral.
GAAGUAAAGGUCGUAACAAGGUUUCCGUAGGUGAACCUGCGGAAGGAUCAUUAUUGUAUAACCGAGGUGCGAGGGCUGUCGCUGACCCGAAAGGUCGUGCACGCCCGAGUGCCCUCACACACAUCCAUCUCACCCCUAUGUGCACCACCGCGUGGGUCCCCCUUUGGCUUGUUCGGAGGGGGGCUUACGUUUUCACACAAACUUUGUAUGCAGUGUAGAAUGUAUUUUUUGUUUUUGCGAUCACGCAAUCAAUACAACUUUCAACAACGGAUCUCUUGGCUCUC